RNAcentral lists this ribosomal RNA (273 nucleotides) under uncultured bacterium. Its description in RNAcentral is "partial 16S ribosomal RNA". It matches the Rfam family "Bacterial small subunit ribosomal RNA", at positions 74 to 339 of the family's 1533-position model. The record is from RNAcentral.
AGGUGCUUGCACCGGUUAAACUUAGUGGCGGACGGGUGAGUAACGCGUGGGUAACCUGCCCAUGUGCCCGGGAUAACUUCUGGAAACGGAUGCUAAAACCGGAUAGGUAGCAGACAAGCAUUUGACUGCUAUUAAAGUGGCUAAGGCCAUGAACAUGGAUGGACCUGCGGUGCAUUAGCUAGUUGGUGAGGUAACGGCUCACCAAGGCGACGAUCAGUAGCCGGCCUGAGAGGGUGAACGGCCACAUUGGGACUGAGACACGGCCCAAACUCC